AUACGGAGGGUGCAAGCGUUAAUCGGAAUUACUGGGCGUAAAGCGCGCGUAGGCGGUUUGUUAAGUCGGAUGUGAAAUCCCCGGGCUCAACCUGGGAACUGCAUUCGAAACUGGCGAGCUAGAGUAUGCUAGAGGAUAGUGGAAUUCCGGGUGUAGCGGUGAAAUGCGUAGAUAUCCGGAGGAACAUCAGUGGCGAAGGCGGCUAUCUGGACCAAUACUGACGCUGAGGUGCGAAAGCGUGGGGAGCAAACAGGAUUAGAAACCCUAGUAGUCC
RNAcentral lists this ribosomal RNA (274 nucleotides) under uncultured bacterium. RNAcentral describes it as "partial 16S ribosomal RNA". It matches the Rfam family "Bacterial small subunit ribosomal RNA", at positions 523 to 796 of the family's 1533-position model. The record is from RNAcentral.